UAGUGUUGUAAUGGUAUACAUAAUAAUGUUAUGUUUCUAUUGUUAAUUUAGUAUUAACAGUCCUUGGCUCUUGUGCAUUAUAUUUAUCCAUUAUUAAUAGUAUUAUUAACUGUGAGCAUAGUUAAUUGAGGAGAUGGUUUGGAAACUUAUUAGCAUUACAAUAAACCUCACUAUCUAUGUUUUUGUUCAGGUUUAUGCAAAAAUGUGGUCUUUCAUCGUCACGUGCGUAUUGUAUUUUUGCUCAACCAGCCAAUAGCAACGGUUUUGUCCAAUUGCCCAUCCAUGACUUUAACAAUAAGACAUUUUGAACAUUCUUAUUGGUUGACUUGAGAAAAAUACAAUGCACACGUGACGAUGAAAGACCACAUUUUUGCAUAAACCUGAACAACAUAGAUAAUGAGGUUUAUUGUGAUUUUAUUGUAAUGUUAACGAGUUUCCAAACCAUCUCCUCUAUUAACUAUG
Non-coding RNA from Paramuricea clavata, 462 nucleotides. NCBI's taxonomy places the organism in Eukaryota, Metazoa, Cnidaria, Anthozoa, Malacalcyonacea, Plexauridae. The record is from the annotation of a GenBank genome assembly.